GACGAACGCUGGCGGCGUGCUUAACACAUGCAAGUCGAACGGAGCGAAUGAAAGCUUGCUUUUAUAAGCUUAGUGGCAAACGGGUGAGUAACACGUAGACAACCUGCCGACAGGAUGGGGACAACAUUCCGAAAGGAAUGCUAAUACCGAAUGAAGUCAGAGAAGGGCAUCCUUUUCUGAUGAAAGAUGGCCUCUGAAUAUGCUAUCACCUGUCGAUGGGUCUGCGUCUGAUUAGCUGGUUGGUGAGGUAACGGCUCACCAAGGCGACGAUCAGUAGCCGGUCUGAGAGGAUGAACGGCCACAUUGGGACUGAGACACGGCCCAGACUCCUACGGGAGGCAGCAGUGGGGAAUCUUCCGCAAUGGGCGCAAGCCUGACGGAGCAACGCCGCGUGAGUGAAGAAGGUCUUCGGAUCGUAAAGCUCUGUUGAUGGGGACGAACGUGCGAAG
This 449-nucleotide ribosomal RNA is filed under the name Selenomonas sp. oral taxon 479. Its description in RNAcentral is "bacterial SSU rRNA". It matches the Rfam family "Bacterial small subunit ribosomal RNA", at positions 28 to 458 of the family's 1533-position model. Lineage: Bacteria; Bacillati; Bacillota; Negativicutes; Selenomonadales; Selenomonadaceae. The record is from RNAcentral.